This 440-nucleotide ribosomal RNA is filed under the name uncultured bacterium. Its description in RNAcentral is "partial 16S ribosomal RNA". It matches the Rfam family "Bacterial small subunit ribosomal RNA", at positions 338 to 795 of the family's 1533-position model. The record is from RNAcentral.
CCUACGGGCGGCAGCAGUAGGGAAUAUUGCUCAAUGGGGGAAACCCUGAAGCAGCAACGCCGCGUGGAGGAUGAAGGUUUUCGGAUUGUAAACUCCUUUUGUUAGAGAAGAUAAUGACGGUAUCUAACGAAUAAGCACCGGCUAACUCCGUGCCAGAAGCCGCGGUAAUACGGAGGGUGCAAGCGUUACUCGGAAUCACUGGGCGUAAAGAGCGCGUAGGCGGGAUAGCAAGUCAGAUGUGAAAGCCUAUGGGUUAACCAUAGAACUGCAUUUGAAACUGUUAUUCUAGAGUAUGGGAGAGGUAGGUGGAAUGCUUGGUGUAGGGGUAAAAUCCGUAGAGAUCAAGAGGAAUACUCAUUGCGAAGGCGACCUGCUAGAACAUAACUGACGCUGAGGCGCGAAAGCGUGGGGAGCAAACAGGAUUAGAUACCCGGGUAGUC